UGGCUGACGUGUGCCCUUUCCGGGCGCAGUUUGAACGACGUUUGCGAGCGGGCGGUCACGCUGCACCUCAAGGCUCUUCAAAUGCACCAGUUAGUCUGGAGACCUCUGCAUUUCGUCGACCCCAUUCCGGUUCACAGAAUAUGCGAAGUCUGCGGUUUUCUUUCAAAACGGACUGCCUUUCUGCCCUGUCGACACGUUUUUUGCGAAACUUGUUACGAGCAAUGCUUCAUCAACCAGGCUUACGAGUGUCCUCUGGACAUUGCAGAGUUUAGUGAUCGAGACGUCCAAUGAAUGGAAUUUCCUUUGGAGAAUCUGCUGACGCGCAAGGUGAAAUGUUGGAACGAGGAUAAAGGCUGCCAAGCGGUCUUGAAAGUUUCAGAGAUGCUCGAGCAUUUUGAUAAAUAUUGCAUCCAUCACACAACGCGUUGUUGCAACUGCUCGGCGAUCGUACUUUGUAGGAAUGUGUGUGCGCAUCGGAGGAGUAACUGCAGCAUGCAUGCACAAUAAAACCAGGCUCAGCUCCUUAAACCACCCAUGCACUGUUUUCAGGAAGCGAUGAUUACCACUUUGCACAUAAGGAGACAACGUGUGGAAAGUAUGACCUCAUGUACUGAACUGGUUGCAGUAGACCACAACAGCCUGUGCGAUAGACUGAGCGAAGUGUCGUACGUUGUCAAUGCUCUGAGGGAGGCCGUGAUAGAUGUGUCCGAGAGGCAGAUGAUUAACUCCAAUGACGCUAGGAUCGCCGCGGUUACAGAAGUGAAGGAAGAGUUGGCUGCCAAAGGGGACAACCUUGAUCAAGUUGCACGGUGGAUACGUGCUUCGGGGGAAGAUGUUAAAGUCGUCGCUGACAGGACAAGGCGGUGUCUGAACAUUCUAGAGGAGAGUCAGUAAAAAAUCCGGUGGCGCAUUGCAACAGACGCCAACACAAUGCAAAAAGUCUCGUACACCGUGGGCGCCUUCUAGAGUGUUCUUGGUGACGUGCUUAAGCAUGCAGUAGAGACUACUUUUGAAAAUGUUUAAAGAAUUCGUUAACUGCAUCACUGCAGCGAAGACUAAAGACGAUGAAAGUGAUCAUAAGACAAUCAUUGAGAGGGAAAGUCAGCUUCUUGUGCACAAAACACUUGGUAUUUCGAGCUAUCAUCUUUGGAUUCAAGGACUUGAGGCACUGAAACAAGAGGCAAUAUCCACAAGCUUUGUAGAAUAUUUGUGUCAACCGAUUUACCUUUGCGGCUACCGCAAUUUCCUUGGACUGCAUUUCCGGAAAGGAACGGGUUGUGUGUGGGUGCACGCGUGCAUAAAGCUGUACAAAGGCGAGAUCGAUGAAUUCCUACAGCGGCCUUUCAGUUACAGAAAUCAAGGUUACAUUCCUGCAUCAGUUGUUCUACAGACACAAAGAGUGGCUAAGCUGUACUCCCUUUGCUCCAGGAUAUUUUGGCAGGCUGACCAAAUCAAGCAAUCCAAGCUAUAGUUUGUGCAUUGAGUCGUUUCUCUUGGAUGACCUUGAAAGUGAGGGAUACGUUAUGUUUGAUCGACUCCACCUGAAGUUUGAGCUAGUGCCUCCAACAUAGUAACUUAAUAUUGUUAUGCUUUUUCUGACUUACGUAUAAUGCAUCGUAAGAGCAGCGCAAGUGACAAUUGCACAAAGUGAAUGUCCAAGGGCAUGAUGCUUUCCGAGAAUACAAGGACGCAACAAAUAAACGGCUUUGUGACAAUCUC
RNAcentral lists this long non-coding RNA (1719 nucleotides) under Rhipicephalus microplus (southern cattle tick). RNAcentral's name for it is "uncharacterized LOC119163909". Lineage: Eukaryota; Metazoa; Arthropoda; Arachnida; Ixodida; Ixodidae. The record is from RNAcentral.